RNAcentral lists this transfer RNA (85 nucleotides) under Syntrophomonadaceae bacterium. RNAcentral's name for it is "tRNA-Leu". It matches the Rfam family "tRNA". Rfam says of the family: Transfer RNA (tRNA) molecules are approximately 80 nucleotides in length. Their secondary structure includes four short double-helical elements and three loops (D, anti-codon, and T loops). Further hydrogen bonds mediate the characteristic L-shaped molecular structure. tRNAs have two regions of fundamental functional importance: the anti-codon, which is responsible for specific mRNA codon recognition, and the 3' end, to which the tRNAs corresponding amino acid is attached (by aminoacyl-tRNA synthetases). tRNAs cope with the degeneracy of the genetic code in two manners: having more than one tRNA (with a specific anti-codon) for a particular amino acid; and 'wobble' base-pairing, i.e. permitting non-standard base-pairing at the 3rd anti-codon position. The record is from RNAcentral. Lineage: Bacteria; Bacillati; Bacillota; Clostridia; Eubacteriales; Syntrophomonadaceae.
GCGGCGGUGGUGGAAUGGGCAGACACGUACGUUUGAGGGGCGUAUCCUGCGAGGGGUGCGGGUUCAAGUCCCGCCCGCCGCACCA